This 1402-nucleotide long non-coding RNA is filed under the name Zonotrichia albicollis (white-throated sparrow). RNAcentral describes it as "lncRNA (ENSZALG00000002060.1)". The record is from RNAcentral. Lineage: Eukaryota; Metazoa; Chordata; Aves; Passeriformes; Passerellidae.
GGGAUGGAACCCAGGGCUGGAACCCAGAGCCAGAACGGAUCCCAGAGCUGGAACCCGGAGCUGGAACCCAGGGCUGGAUCCCAGAGAUGGAAUGGAUCCCAGAUUCCAGAGCCAGAAUGGAACCCAGAGCUGGAUCCCAGAGCCAGAAUGGAUCCCAGAGCUGGAACCCGGAGCUGGAACCCAGAGCCAGAUUGGAUCCCAGAGCCAGAACGGAUCCCAGAGCUGGAACCCAGAGCCAGAAUGGAUCCCAGAUUCCAGAGCCAGAUCCAAGACCCAGAUCCCAGAUGCCAGAGCCAGGAUGGAACCCAGGGCUGGAACCCAGAGCUGGAACCCAGAGCCAGAUCCAGGACCCAGAUCCCAGAUCCCAGAGCCAGAAUGGAUCCCAGAGCUGGAACCCGGAGCUGGAAUGGAUCCCAGAGCCAGAAUGGAUCCCAGAUCCCAGAGCUGGAUCCCAGACUCCAGAGCCAGAUCCAAGACCCAGAUCCCAGAUGCCAGAGCCAGAAUGGAACCCAGAGCUGGAACCCAGAGCUGGAACGGAUCCCAGAGCUGGAUCCCAGAGCUGGAUCCCAGAGCCAGAACAGAUCCCAGAUCCCAGAGCUGGAUCCCAGAUUCCAGAGCCGGAUCCAAGACCCAGAUCCCAGAUUCCAGAGCCAGAAUGGAACCCAGAGCUGGAACCCAAAGCUGGAACCCAGAGCCAGAUCCAAGACCCAGAUCCUGGAUCUCAGAGCCAGAAUGGAUCCCAGAGCUGGAACCCAAAGCUGGAACCCAGAGCCAGAUCCAAGACCCAGAUCCUGGAUCUCAGAGCCAGAAUGGAUCCCAGAGCUGGAACCCAGAGCUGGAAUGGAUCCCAGAGCCAGAAUGGAUCCCAGAGCUGGAACCCAGAGCUGGAAUGGAUCCCAGAUGCCAGAGCUGGAACCCAGAUUCCAGAGCCAGAAUGGAACCCAGAGCUGGAACCCGGAGCUGGAACCCAGAGCUGGAACCCAGAGCCAGAAUGGAUCCCAGAGCUGGAUCCCAGAUUCCAGAGCCAGAUCCAAGACCCAGAUCCCAGAUCCCAGAGCCAGAAUGGAUCCCAGAUCCAGAUUGGAUCCCGGAGCCAGAUUGGAUCCCAAAGCUGGGUCCUGGAUCCCAAGCAUGGCAUGGGGUUGCAGAAGGGCAGAUCCCAUCCUGGAUCCUGGAUUCCAGGACCAGAUUCCAUCCUGGAUCCUGGAUCCAGAUCCCAAUCCCAGAUCCAGACCCCAAUCCUGGAUCCCAGAUCCAGACCCCAGUCCCGGAUCCCAGGCCCAGAUCCCACCCUGGAUCCCAGAUCCACAGCCCGUGUCCGUGUGGCUGUGCCAGCCUGGCCUCACCAGGUGUGCCCGUGGUGGUUCUGGGGCUCCGUCCCGUCCCAGAUCCCAAACCGGGA